UAGGGAAUCUUCCACAAUGGACGAAAGUCUGAUGGAGCAACGCCGCGUGAGUGAAGAAGGGCUUCGGCUCGUAAAACUCUGUUGUUAAAGAAGAACAUAUCUGAGAGUAACUGUUCAGGUAUUGACGGUAUUUAACCAGAAAGCCACGGCUAACUACGUGCCAG
Molecule: ribosomal RNA, 164 nt
Filed under: uncultured bacterium
Lineage: Bacteria
Description: partial 16S ribosomal RNA
Rfam family: Bacterial small subunit ribosomal RNA
Source: RNAcentral